GCCGUUGUAGCUCAGGGGUAGAGCGCAUCCUUGGUAAGGAUGAGGUCCCGGGUUCAAUUCCCGGCAUCGGCU
RNAcentral lists this transfer RNA (72 nucleotides) under Bacteroidota bacterium. RNAcentral's name for it is "Bacteroidetes bacterium (marine metagenome) tRNA-Thr". It matches the Rfam family "tRNA". Rfam says of the family: Transfer RNA (tRNA) molecules are approximately 80 nucleotides in length. Their secondary structure includes four short double-helical elements and three loops (D, anti-codon, and T loops). RNAcentral also lists the same sequence under 2 other names. Lineage: Bacteria; Pseudomonadati; Bacteroidota. The record is from RNAcentral.